Ribosomal RNA from Danio rerio (zebrafish), 116 nucleotides. The record is from Ensembl. Lineage: Eukaryota; Metazoa; Chordata; Actinopteri; Cypriniformes; Danionidae.
AACCACAUCAUAUCACUCUGCAGCCCAAAACCAGUUACUCACUAAAGCUAAGCAGGGCUGAGCCUGCUCAGUACAUGGAUGGGAGGCCACAUGGGAAAACUAGGUUGCUGUCGGAA